Scophthalmus maximus (turbot) is the source of this 915-nucleotide long non-coding RNA. RefSeq lists it as uncharacterized. NCBI's taxonomy places the organism in Eukaryota, Metazoa, Chordata, Actinopteri, Pleuronectiformes, Scophthalmidae. The transcript has 4 exons. The record is from RefSeq and is a predicted model, not a curated record.
ACAACGCUCACUGGCUUGUUAUUGAAUUUUAGCGCGAACCGCGUCAAUGGCCAUUCGCCCGCAGGGGGGAAGUAAACCAACACCGAGCUAGCUCUCUCAUUAGCUCCACCGCCACAGACACACAGCAGUUCACAGUCGGUUGUUAUAGUUUGCCGAAGGAUCAUGUUCCCUUGGUAACCACAUAGUGAACUAUCGCGAGAUCUCGCGCGCAGGGGUGAGAGUUCAUCCAACCUCCAGUUUUCCCUUCAAGAGAGAUAAAGCAGCUGGGCUGAGCAGCUGGCGCGUAUGGAGUUGGACAUACUUAUUGAUUACUGUAGGGAGGAGUGGUCUGAGCCUUUGUGGCUGCCUCCCCAGCAUAGAAAGCAAGCAACGUGAGGAAAGAUGUGACAGGGUCACUGAUUCCUUUACAAGCCUUUGUGUCUUCAAGUGAACCUGGGAAACACGAUGACGAGAUGAUGAUGACGACAGUUUUCGAGCUCCCUUUGACAGAGACAAGACAAACCACAGUCAUCAUUUGUCUAAAAUUUGUCUGAUAGUCUUUGCAGGUUCCCCUGUAAAAAAUAAUGAGUUUUGGCCAAAAGACAAUACUUAAUAGUAUAAAGAUUGAACAUAGACAGAAUGGUUUGAAAGUGAAUGUGAAUUUCAUAUUUGUCUUUGCAAAAGGGCUAUUUCACCUUUUUUUAAUGACAUUUUCAUACCAGUAAAUAGAGAGCAUGUGAUGUCAUUUUGUUGAUUGAUGUUUUUCAAAAGGUUGCACAUUUUUUUGUUAUAGUGUUUAAGUGUGGCUAUGAGUAGUAGAUGGUGGAAACACUGUGAAAGAUACAAACUGAUCCAGGGAUAGUUCAAAAGAUUGAACCCUAAUUAUUUGUCGAUUAUCGAUUAUCUAACUAUUAAAAAAAGUUAUUAAUCAAGAGA